UCUUAAUUGAUUAGUUUACUUUUUUUGGAAGGCAUUAUUAAAGAGACCGUUCCCUGCGGGGAACUUCAUUUCCAAGAGAAAUAUAUAUCAUAUACAGCUAAUGUCCCAGGCACUGUCGCAGCGCAUGCUGUUCAGGGACAAAGCGCUGCCAGCCCAGGGAGGCUUUCUCACCAGCUAGUGCUAAAGGUGCUCAGCUGAACGGUGCGGAAAAGAGCUGCUCCUGCAGUGAGUAAUUCUCAACAUCCAAGUGCCCGUGUGGGCCUGAAAAUGGCUGAGCAAAGAGCAGGAGCUGCCGCCACACGGGUGUGUGUGCAGAGGAUGUGGUAGCAGGGAAAGCAAGAGCUGCAUUUUCUGCGUAGGAGCAGCCUGAGCUGCAUAACUUUACUUAAAAUGAAGGUUGCAGAGAGCUUCACCAAGGAAACAAUGCUUUUCCCAGCAAAGUCAACAGGAAAAUAUUCCAACUAUUUCAGAGGAGGAAACAUUUUGACUGAAAUAUUUGUGUCUGCAUAUCUUUAUAUAAUAAGGCUGUAUAUCUGCUCCAUGAGUGCGUGUGCACCUGGCUAUGCUAGCUGAAACUUCCAGAGGAAGGAUAUGAAAAUUUCUGUUUGGUAUUUUCUGUGGUUGUACUAGUUCAAAGUUAUUUCUUUAAAUGAAUUGUUCUAAAAACAGGGAGCUCAAAAGCCAGUGCUACACAAGGAAGGCUCAUGCAUUUUUCACAAUGGUUUUAUUGUUCGUGAGAUUGGCACAUGGAUUAAAAUUAGUGAACCUGUUAAUUCACUUCACCACAACCUUCCUACCAAAAUGCAACAGCUUUGUCCCAGAUUCAACAGCCCUACAAAACAAAAAUUAACAUUAGGAAAUAUAUUUAUUUCUUUUUUGAAAAUAACAGAAUAGUUUUUGCUGAAAAUCAGGGAGAAAAAAAAACAAUCUGGGGCAAGAAGAGAGCAUGAAAUGCUUUAGCCCAAGUGGAUAAAAUGAGAUAUAAGCAACUGAACACAGAGAUUUAUCAUGAAAAACGUUAAGCAACCUUAUCUCUCUGUGUUGCUAGCAGCUCCAUCUGUUAUACACAGUAAAAAUACUGAAACCAGAAAAGCAAACACAGCAACAAUCAACUUUAUUUAUUGAAAUAAAGAUGCAUAAAACAACACUCCUAUAUCAAAAUGUCCUAGAGGAAGAAAACCAAUCUCACCAGGCAAGGUUUCCCAGUCCUGAAAGAACUACGAAGGGAAUUGCUGGAGGCAAAGAGCUGCUGUUGUGUAGGAAGCGAUACACCCUGAGAUACAGAGGACAGAAGGAUUUCUGACACAACAGAGGCUUUCUAUAAAAUAUUCCAGGUUGUAUUUUCUAUGGCAGUAUUAGAAUUCUCUUUUUCAUUUUCCUUUCUUGAAAUGAGCUGUUCUGAGAGUAUACUGGUCAAAGUGAUUUGCCCUUUCCCUAGGAGAUUAUAAAGCGGGAAUCUAUUUUGAUGGUUAAUCAUUAAAUGGAGUCCUCUCCAUUUUCAGGAACAGAGCAUUUCCUAAAAGAAACGGUGACUGAAAUGAAACGCUAUGUAUUCCAGCAACCUCGGCUUGCAAAUAAGCUGACGGUUAUGCAAGCAAUGGCACAUGUGGAUCAGGUACUGUCUGAAUAAGCAACUGGAACUUUUUGGUUUACAAAUAGUGAGCUGGUACCCAUGGCACCUUAGGCAACAGGUAACUGCUUCUGUGCAGGUUGUUAUCAUCUGGGUUAUCUAAAAUAUGCUUUCUGCUGCACUUGCUGCAGGGGGCUGCAGUGUUUAUCAGAUUUAUGGACUUGUACCUCUGUAAUUCUUACAGAACUGGAUGGUCAUGAGCUGUUCUCCUCAUGAAUUCUCCAGGCUUGGUACAUGGAAAAUAUGCUCCUUCUGCAGGGAACUGGAAAGAAGAAAAUCUCAACUUCAAGAUUGUGUUGCAUUUAGCUCACAUCACUGUAGAAUUUUUGACACACAGAGAUGGAAUAGUGAAUGCUGCUGUCAAUAAAUAACCGCAUCUUCCAAGUGCCCUUUCCUUGUAGUGGUAGCUUCUGUUUGGCCUCUAUUAGAACAUACCACCUGUGUUUUGCUAUGCUGUGUUUCGUUUUCCCAUCAGAGAUACUGAAGUGUAUUUCAGUGCUUGAGUGGAAAUCCCACUCAGCAUUAUUUGGAAAAUGCCCUGUUUGUUAACCAAACAGUUUGUGCUAGUUAUCACUGAGUCUAAAAGGAUAUCAGACUUCUGGAGAUUUAUCUAAGGCAAAAAUGGCUGCUAGAGAUCAAUGUCCAGAUCGCAAACUUCAUUCAUUUUCCUUCUGCAUACCAGAGACAAUGACUCAUGUUUUCUAUCUCUUCGUUUUGCAUGAGCCUUAGUAGAUGGCUCAUUUGCAGCCAAAGAGAAUAAAGACCUGCAAAUGGCAAAUUAAAUUCUUGCAGUUCAGUUUCAUCAUCUUUUCCUCAAAUUUGCAAAAGAUUUUUUGCUAACACAAAAAUUUAAAAUCUGCAACAGAUAUUUCACCCCAGUCGUAGGUGGGCUUCCUUAUUAAAUCACAAAAUCUUAACUGCAGUAUUCUA
Molecule: long non-coding RNA, 2560 nt
Organism: Pezoporus flaviventris
Lineage: Eukaryota; Metazoa; Chordata; Aves; Psittaciformes; Psittacidae
Exons: 3
Source: RefSeq, a predicted model, not a curated record